GAAAUGCGAUAAGUAAUGUGAAUUGCAGAAUUCAGUGAAUCAUCGAAUCUUUGAACGCACAUUGCGCCCCCUGGUAUUCCGGGGGGCAUGCCUGUUCGAGCGUCAUUUCACCACUCAAGCCUCGCUUGGUAUUGGGCAACGCUGUCCGCCGCGUGCCUCAAAUCGACCGGCUGGGUCUUCUGUCCCCUAAGCGUUGUGGAAACUAUUCGCUAAAGGGUGUUCGGGAGGCUACGCCGUAAAACAACCCCAUUUCUAAGGUUGACCUCGGAUCAGGUAGGGAUACCCGCUGAACUUAAGC
Molecule: unclassified non-coding RNA, 298 nt
Filed under: plant metagenome
Description: partial contains 5.8S ribosomal RNA, internal transcribed spacer 2, and large subunit ribosomal RNA
Rfam family: 5.8S ribosomal RNA (bases 1-105)
Source: RNAcentral